RNAcentral lists this ribosomal RNA (549 nucleotides) under uncultured bacterium. RNAcentral describes it as "bacterial SSU rRNA". It matches the Rfam family "Bacterial small subunit ribosomal RNA", at positions 777 to 1319 of the family's 1533-position model. The record is from RNAcentral.
AAUAGAUACCCGGGUAGUCCACGCCGUAAACGGUGGGCACUAGGUGUGGGCGACAUUCCACGUCGUCCGUGCCGCAGCUAACGCAUUAAGUGCCCCGCCUGGGGAGUACGGCCGCAAGGCUAAAACUCAAAGGAAUUGACGGGGGCCCGCACAAGCGGCGGAGCAUGUGGCUUAAUUCGACGCAACGCGAAGAACCUUACCAAGGCUUGACAUACACCGGAAACGUCCAGAGAUGGGCGCCCCCUUGUGGUCGGUGUACAGGUGGUGCAUGGCUGUCGUUAGCUCGUGUCGUGAGAUGUUGGGUUAAGUCCCGCAACGAGCGCAACCCUUGUCCCGUGUUGCCAGCAGGCCCUUGUGGUGCUGGGGACUCACGGGAGACCGCCGGGGUCAACUCGGAGGAAGGUGGGGACGACGUCAAGUCAUCAUGCCCCUUAUGUCUUGGGCUGCACACGUGCUACAAUGGCCGGUACAAUGAGCUGCGAUACCGCGAGGUGGAGCGAAUCUCAAAAAGCCGGUCUCAGUUCGGAUUGGGGUCUGCAACUCGACCCC